This 1335-nucleotide ribosomal RNA is filed under the name Stenotrophomonas maltophilia. Its description in RNAcentral is "partial 23S ribosomal RNA". It matches the Rfam family "Bacterial large subunit ribosomal RNA", at positions 1609 to 2925 of the family's 2925-position model. Lineage: Bacteria; Pseudomonadati; Pseudomonadota; Gammaproteobacteria; Lysobacterales; Lysobacteraceae. The record is from RNAcentral.
CAGGAAAAGCUCCUAAGCUUCAGCUUACGCAGACCGUACCGUAAACCGACACAGGUGGGUAGGAUGAGAAUUCUCAGGCGCUUGAGAGAACUCGGGUGAAGGAACUAGGCAACAUGGCACCGUAACUUCGGGAGAAGGUGCACCCUUUUUGGUGGCUCGUGCGAGCUAUAGCUGAAGAGGGUCGCAGUAACCAGGCCGCUGCGACUGUUUAUCAAAAACACAGCACUCUGCAAACACGAAAGUGGACGUAUAGGGUGUGACGCCUGCCCGGUGCUGGAAGGUUAAUUGAUGGGGUCAGCCGCAAGGCGAAGCUCUUGAUCGAAGCCCCAGUAAACGGCGGCCGUAACUAUAACGGUCCUAAGGUAGCGAAAUUCCUUGUCGGGUAAGUUCCGACCUGCACGAAUGGCGUAACGACAGCGGCGCUGUCUCCACCCGAGACUCAGUGAAAUUGAAAUCGCUGUGAAGAUGCAGCGUUCCCGUGGCAAGACGGAAAGACCCCGUGAACCUUUACUAUAGCUUUACACUGAACGUUGAGUUCGUCUGUGUAGGAUAGGUGGGAGGCUAUGAAACCAUGGCGCUAGCUGUGGCGGAGCCAUCCUUGAAAUACCACCCUGUCGUGCUUGACGUUCUAACCUGGGCCCAUUAUCUGGGUCGGGGACCGUGUAUGGUGGGUAGUUUGACUGGGGCGGUCUCCUCCUAAAGAGUAACGGAGGAGCUCGAAGGUACGCUCAGCGCGGUCGGACAUCGCGCACUGUGUGCAAAGGCAUAAGCGUGCUUGACUGCAAGAUCGACGGAUCAAGCAGGUAGGAAACUAGGACUUAGUGAUCCGGUGGUUCUGUAUGGAAGGGCCAUCGCUCAACGGAUAAAAGGUACUCCGGGGAUAACAGGCUGAUACCGCCCAAGAGUUCAUAUCGACGGCGGUGUUUGGCACCUCGAUGUCGGCUCAUCACAUCCUGGGGCUGUAGUCGGUCCCAAGGGUAUGGCUGUUCGCCAUUUAAAGUGGUACGCGAGCUGGGUUCAGAACGUCGUGAGACAGUUCGGUCCCUAUCUGCCAUGGGCGUUGGAGAUUUGAGAGGGGCUGCUCCUAGUACGAGAGGACCGGAGUGGACGAACCUCUGGUGUUCCGGUUGUCACGCCAGUGGCAUUGCCGGGUAGCUAUGUUCGGAAGCGAUAACCGCUGAAAGCAUCUAAGCGGGAAGCGCGCCUCAAGAUGAGAUCUCCCGGGGCACAAGCCCCCUGAAGGAACCAUGUAGACUACGUGGUUGAUAGGUCAGGUGUGUAAGUACAGCAAUGUAUUGAGCUAACUGAUACUAAUGAUCCGUGCGGCUUGACCAU